CACCAUAGUAUUAGUGUCAUGUCACAGCCAAUGCCAGAGAGAAUAUAUAAUUAAUUGAUGCUUUUUGCUGAGAGGAACACUUGCUCUACAAGUCAGCACCAGACACAAAGAGAAAGAGGAGGAAGCAGAGAAUGAGCAGAGGGAGAGAGAACGAGAGCUAAAACAGCAGAAAAUCCCAUUUUAGCUUUGAUCGCACUAAGCUCAGCCACUUGUCUCCUCUCUCUCCCUAUUUUAACAGAAUAGAAAGGAAGAGUGAGUGGCUGCAAGCAGAUAUACCAAUGUUUUAUUGAGACCAGGGAUAAAAACGGUGACAUCCAUCUCCGGUUGUGCCUGGAAUUUUUGCUCAAUUGUAUUCUUGUCUUUAGUCAAAGGGUUUUGAGGUCUCUAAGAUGCACUGGAUUUAUUUUUUGAUAUGCAGUAGGUGGAAGCAUGCUUAUAUUUGGGAUGUUGGUAGCAUCCCUCUCCUAUCUCCUAGAUUGAAGAUUUUGUUGAAUGCGCUCACAAAUUCCAAACUGAUCUGAGCUACUGAUGUGUUUGGAUGUCUUUUGAAGUCAACUCUGAGGCAAACCCUAAAUUCUUUUCAGGUGCCACUCUUUGUCUCAACAUAUUGGGUGUUGCUUGCAUUGUAAAGGAAAUUAAGUUCACAUGGGGCUAUGAAGAAAAUCUGGUCCAAACAAAGAUUCCAGAGAGCUGGGCACACUAACUGGAUGUUUGGAAGACUUGCUCAUGUGAAGUUUUUCGCUUGUGCAGGAAGCAAAGCAAUGAAGCAGACAACACAGAUGAUGAGAAUGGAGAAACCCAGGUCUCCAUGGAAACAAAAGAAAGGUCUAGGGCCCCACAGGCUCAAGCAAUUAGGAGUCAGUUUUCAGGUGGUGCAAAGACAAUGAUUGCUCGUAAUUGCCCCAUAGUGGAGAGAGAGAUUUUGGCUCUGGGUUCAAGAGCCCCAAGCCUACAAGGCCCCUUCCAGUCUGGCAGGAAAGCAAAUGCUGGGUGUGUUCAGAGCCCCCCAGUCAGACAUCUGGGUGUGGAAGCUCUUGUGCGGGCCUCUCAGAUCAGUGUGUACUACCCAGCAGUGGAGUCUGAGGAAAGUAUGUCAUUAGCCAGUGACUACUAUGGCAGCGUGUUCAGCCUCUAUCGACAAAGGACAUUUUCUGUAUAUAGUGCCCAGGAGUAAAUACGAGUUCUUGUGAUAUAAGAACACAAUUUUUUGUGGUUUAAAUGGGCAUAAACUAAAUUUAUGAAAACAUUUUCAUCUUUUCAGCUUUACUAUCCAUUCUUAUUUAUCAGUUUUCCCCUUAUAUUAAGUUUUCCCUUCUUCUUAACCUCUUUCCUUUGACUCCACUUGGUUUUGUUAAUCAUUUUUAGCAGUUUUGUGGUAACAUGCAUCAAUGAUUAUCAGUAUCAGUGGUUACUUUUUGCAUGCCUUUCUGCAUCACUUUCUCCAGAAACACAAGUUUAAUAUGUCAAAACCCUUAUCUUUCACUUAAAGACUGAAAUGCAGUACUUCAGUGUUCACUCUUUUAUUGUCAAAACAUUACAUUUUCCUCAAUUUCAGUGAAAAAGCAUCCUAUUAUUCUGAAGAUUCUGAAGGUUCAAGUAAAGUGAUUAAGAACAAUGUGGCAUUCAAAGGGUCUAUCUUUAAGGAGAGAGCCUCCUCACUGGAGGAUCGUCCCAGUUAUGCUCAUAACAAAUAUGCUCAGAAGAGCUUCAGUGGAUCAAGAAACAUCUUUCACUACAAAGCAUCUUGCUGAACCAGAGCAGACCAAUGCACCCAGAAAGACCAAUGCCCAAAAGGGCAUCUCAAAAGUCCUCUGUUCACCAAGAAGUGAUUUGAGCACUUCAAAGCCUCCAAGUCAUCAUUCUACUUCCACAUUCCCAAAGUCAUUUAAGGGAAGAGAAAAAAAAGCACUCCCCAUCAUCCCUACCAAACUGAUCCCUAUCAUUGUAACAGAAGAUAAGCCAAACAAAUAAAGCAGAAAAAAAGAAAGAAGUAAUUUGGGGCAAUCAAUGUCUCAGAGCAAGAGGACUCCUCUGAUGAUUCCUCCAUAUGUGCAGAAGAGGACAAAAGAGUGGGCCCAAUAUGAACUUCCCCUGGCUCUGAGGUGACAAUGGAGUGCAUCAUUGAAGAAAAACCUUUCUCAAGAAUGUUUUAUGGACAACAGGGGAGCAAUGAACUACACUCGUAAUUCUCAGCUCUUGCAUCUUGCAUUUGAGCGGGAUGUGAGAAAGAAAUUUCGCACCGAAUGGAAAGACCUCGUCGCCUGCAGGUUUUCUAAAUGUAAGAUGUCUUUUACUAGCAUAAAGCCAACUUUAUGCCAGUAGGUUUAAAAACUUUUUAGAGUUUUGAUAUUUAUUAAAAUAAACCAUGAAAUCAUAUGUCAAAUUUAACAUGUAUUUCACUACUGAAUGGGCCCAUACUUAAAAUAUACUGUAAUUUAAAUCUCAAUAGC
Long non-coding RNA from Ictalurus punctatus (channel catfish), 2450 nucleotides. Lineage: Eukaryota; Metazoa; Chordata; Actinopteri; Siluriformes; Ictaluridae. The record is from Ensembl.